Molecule: unclassified non-coding RNA, 240 nt
Filed under: soil metagenome
Description: partial contains 5.8S ribosomal RNA, internal transcribed spacer 2, and large subunit ribosomal RNA
Source: RNAcentral
AACAAGGCGUACCUGCGGACCUGCGGAAGGAUCAUUACAGAGUUCGUGCCCUCGCGGGUAGAUCUCCCACCCUUGUGUAUUUUCUACAUUUUGUUGCUUUGGCAGGCCGUUGGUUCGCCAACCACCGGCUCGCGGGCUGGUGCGUGCCUGCCAGAGGACCUCUCAAACUCGGUUUGUUAGUGUCGUCUGAGUACCAUAACAAUCGUUAAAACUUUCAACAAUGGAUCUCAGAUCGGAAGA